CCAAUAGCGUAUAUUAAAGUUGUUGCAGUUAAAAAGCUCGUAGUUGAAUUUCGGGAUCAAUGUUUCGGUCAUGCCGUUGGUAUGUACUGAUAUUAUUGGUUUCUCACCUUCUAAAGAACCGUAAUGCCAUUAAUUUGGUGUCACGGGGAAUUAGGACUGUUACCUUGAAAAAAUUAGAGUGUUUAAAGCAGGCUCACGCUUGAAUACAUUAGCAUGGAAUAAUGAAAUAGGACGUUCGAUCUUAUUUUGUUGGUUUCUAAGAUUGACGUAAUGAUUAAUAGGGGUAGUUGGGGGCAUUAGUAUUCAAUGGUCAGAGGUGAAAUUCUUGGAUUUAUUGAAGACUAACUACUGCGAAAGCAUUUGCCGAGGAUGUUUUCAUUAAUCAAGAACGAAAGUUAGGGGAUCGAAGACGAUCAGAUACCGUCGUAGUCUUAACCAUAAACUAUGCCGACUAGGGAUCGGAUGAUGUUAAUUUUUUAAUGACUCAUUCGGCGCCUUACG
RNAcentral lists this ribosomal RNA (501 nucleotides) under uncultured Glomus. Its description in RNAcentral is "SSU rRNA". It matches the Rfam family "Eukaryotic small subunit ribosomal RNA", at positions 591 to 1092 of the family's 1831-position model. Lineage: Eukaryota; Fungi; Glomeromycota; Glomeromycetes; Glomerales; Glomeraceae. The record is from RNAcentral.